GUGCUUGUUUUGGCAGCACAUAUGCUAAAACUGGAAUGAUAAGAGAAGAUUAGCGUGGCCCCUGCACAAGAAUUAUACUAUUAGUAUUUGUUUGACACUGCUUUCUU
This is a small nuclear RNA of Cynocephalus volans (Philippine flying lemur), 107 nucleotides long. The record is from RefSeq and is a predicted model, not a curated record. Lineage: Eukaryota; Metazoa; Chordata; Mammalia; Dermoptera; Cynocephalidae.